RNAcentral lists this ribosomal RNA (253 nucleotides) under uncultured bacterium. Its description in RNAcentral is "partial 16S ribosomal RNA". It matches the Rfam family "Bacterial small subunit ribosomal RNA", at positions 524 to 776 of the family's 1533-position model. The record is from RNAcentral.
UACGGGGGGGGCAAGCGUUGUUCGGAAUUACUGGGCGUAAAGGGCGCGUAGGUGGCCAACUAAGUCAGACGUGAAAUCCCUCGGCUUAACCGGGGAACUGCGUCUGAUACUGGAUGGCUUGAGUUUGGGAGAGGGACGCGGAAUUCCAGGUGUAGCGGUGAAAUGCGUAUAUAUUCGCAAGAACACCAGUGGCGAAGGCGGCUUACUGGUCCGGUUCUGACGCUGAGGCGCGAAAGCGUGGGGAGCAAACAGG